UCACCUUCUCCUCUUGUUUUAACAACCUGGCUAAUUCCAGCAGAUCACAAUCUUCUUCGCCUUCUUCUUCGGCAUGAUAGAUCGGAUUGUCGAAGUCAUAUGAGGUGUAACCGAAUUGUUAUCAAUGAGAUCCGGAGAAUUACUUUUCGAUGUCGGAACGAGACAAAUCAAAAAAAAAGGAAAAAAGAAAACAAACAUUGCCAUUUUUAUUUAUUUUAAAACUGCAAAAAUAAAUGAAAAACAUGGAACACCGCUUUUAAUGUGAAAAACAUCCAUUUAUU
Molecule: long non-coding RNA, 281 nt
Filed under: Lathyrus oleraceus (garden pea)
Lineage: Eukaryota; Viridiplantae; Streptophyta; Magnoliopsida; Fabales; Fabaceae
Description: Pisum sativum (pea) long non-coding RNA (PSAT_LNC015687)
Source: RNAcentral